UUCCCUUCCAUACCCCGACCCCGGAAGCAGCUUCAAGCCACUCUGUGUUACAACCAACAGUCCUUGCUUCUGUUAGCACUAGUGGACCCCGGUGCAGAGGGAAACUUCUUGGGUUAAAACUUAGCCUUCCAAGCUGGAAUUCCUCGUGAGCCAUUGUGUACCCACUGGACACCCGGGCACUGGACGGUAGACUACUGGCCCAAGUCACGCACUGCACGGAACCCCAGCUUCUCCUUCUCUCCAGAAACCAUCGGGAACAGCUCUUAGUAAAACUCAGUGAACUGGUCAUUCUGGGUCUGCGUCUCUCCUUCUGCACUUGAGUCAUCACUGAACUCUGUGUCAAACACAUUUGCCAACCAUUUUGUCCACCUUCUUGGGCCUUUGCUGGUAAUCUAACUGGACAUCAGCAGGUGAUGCAAUACAAGUUUAGAGCACCAAAAGAAGUGUCUGCUGAUGCCCUCAGAGAAGCCACAAUUCUUGACCGUCUUUAAGAAAGAAGACAAGCCUCAGUGAACAUAAGAAAAACUGCACAUACUAUAAAUCUGAAACAAAAACAGGAAAUGACUGAAAUACUCAGUAAAUCGGAGAGCACCCAUGGUAAGAAAAGUGAAGUUAACAGAACUUUCUCCUUGACCUGACAGACAAAUUUACAGAUGGGUCACCUUGCUGUCUGUCACAUGGAAAGCCAUCGCUAAGAUCCUUCUUGGUGGCUGAAGAGUUAUUCCUCAACUUGCAGUUUGGAUACGGUCCAUCAAGAAGCAUAGGAAACAUGACCUUCUUUGUGCUGGGAACAGUGUCAACCAUUAUAUGUAUGUAGACUUCUCUGACCAUACAAGAGCCUUUUACUCUGCCAGCUGAGAGGGUUGUUCUUAAAUUUGGCUGCACCUAAAGCUCAUCUUUAUUCUACAUGAUGGAAUACAAACCGAGUCUAAACAGUGAGUCCAUCAAGAUCAAAAUUAUAACCAAAGUCAAAACUAUAGUGCAGAUUAGGGUGAAGAAAGGUUGCAUCAUUGCCCCAAACUUUUUCCAAAUUUUCCCCAACUUUGGCCACCCAGCCAUCCUAGUACCACAGAACAAGAGGGGAAAUGAACUGUUCUGAAGACUGACUGAGGGCUUGGCAAGUCUGAGGUUGAUUUGCCCUAAGAUAACUGUACUCAGCCCCAGAUAUACUUGGUAACAAGUCUUGAGACCAUUCGAGUUCUUCCAAGUCAAACAUCAGCCUAAUCUAUAAUUAAAUUUUUAUUUUGUCACUGUCAAUAGGUCAAACACUGGAAAUUAUAAAAACACUUAAAUGGCUAUUUUUGCCAUGGAUGCAGCAGUGAUUCAAGGAGGCAGCUUAUCAUCACCAUCUCUAGAAUAAUUCAACAGAAAUAAAUGCAAGGGACAGUGAUGUCCCAUAAAUGGAAUUUAACCUAAAGCUCCAAUGUUGGGACUGUUUCUCUUUAUGACCUGAAUUUGGUGUAGUAAGAACAACUUAAAUACUUAUCAUGACAAACCCUUGGAAAUAUAGCAACCAGCUGGCUCUGCUGGAUUAUGUAUCGCAUUGAACUGCUGCUGCUGUUAACAAAUUUCACGUCACAUGCCAGUGAUAAUAAACCUGAUUCUGAUACUGAGAACAAUAAUGGACAUCUGAAGUCAUAGACUCAUGAAAUGGGCAGACACAUGGUAGGUGAAAUUUAUUGCAAAUAAAUGAAAAGUGAUCAGAUUGAAAAAGGAGCGGCAAUAUAUAUAAAUUAAAUGAUACAAUUUUAACACCAGGGGCAGUGGCGAGGAUAAAUAAACAGUCCUAAGGAUUCACACAAUCAUGUCCUUGAAGAAAGCAGAAGUUCAUAGAAAAAUAAGAGAUGCUUUACUUUACAUUGUCAGUAAUGUGUAGCAAAAUUUCAUUUGUCUCUAAUAUAUAUUCUCAAAUAUAUGUCAUUAUAAAGACAGUUGUCGAUUUAAUUUAUAUUGUGGACCAUUGAUUUACA
Molecule: long non-coding RNA, 1970 nt
Organism: Hypanus sabinus (Atlantic stingray)
Lineage: Eukaryota; Metazoa; Chordata; Chondrichthyes; Myliobatiformes; Dasyatidae
Exons: 3
Source: RefSeq, a predicted model, not a curated record